GACGAACGCUGGCGGCGUGCCUAAUACAUGCAAGUUGAGCGCUGAAGGUUGGUACUUGUACCAACUGGAUGAGCAGCGAACGGGUGAGUAACGCGUGGGGAAUCUGCCUUUGAGCGGGGGACAACAUUUGGAAACGAAUGCUAAUACCGCAUAAAAACUUUAAACACAAGUUUUAAGUUUGAAAGAUGCAAUUGCAUCACUCAAAGAUGAUCCCGCGUUGUAUUAGCUAGUUGGUGAGGUAAAGGCUCACCAAGGCGAUGAUACAUAGCCGACCUGGGAGGGUGAGCGGCCACAUUGGGACUGAGACACGGCCCAAACGCCUACAGGAGGCAGCAGUAGGGAAUCGUCGGCAAUGGACGAAAGUCUGGCCGAGCAACGCCGCGUGAGUGAAGAAGGUUGUCGGAUCGUAAAACUCUGUUGGUAGAGAAGAACGUUGGUGAGAGUGGAAAGCUCAUCAAGUGACGGUAACUACCCAGAAAGGGACGGCUAACUACGUG
This 497-nucleotide ribosomal RNA is filed under the name uncultured bacterium. RNAcentral's name for it is "partial 16S ribosomal RNA". It matches the Rfam family "Bacterial small subunit ribosomal RNA", at positions 28 to 507 of the family's 1533-position model. The record is from RNAcentral.